GUGCCCGGCACUCCAUGGACAGAGAAGAAAGAAGUGCUGUCUUCCCCGUGCAGUCUUUAUCCUGCUCCCACAUGCUGGUCUUCGGCGCAGGAUCCUGGAGCCUCUGCUCCCCGUGGGGGUGGGCAUGCUGUGACCUUGGGUUAACCACUUUCCCGCCGAGUCUCAGUUUCCUCAUCUGUACAAUGGCUCUCAUGAGAAUGAUGCCUGUUUUUCCUAUUCCCAGGGAGGGAUUCGAUGCGAGGACACCAUAAAAUGAGGAAUGA
This 263-nucleotide long non-coding RNA is filed under the name Homo sapiens (human). RNAcentral's name for it is "HSALNT0295876". The record is from RNAcentral. Lineage: Eukaryota; Metazoa; Chordata; Mammalia; Primates; Hominidae.